Long non-coding RNA from Glossina fuscipes, 1890 nucleotides. RefSeq lists it as uncharacterized. Lineage: Eukaryota; Metazoa; Arthropoda; Insecta; Diptera; Glossinidae. The record is from RefSeq and is a predicted model, not a curated record. The transcript has 3 exons.
AGCUGAUUAACUGUUAACAGUCAUGCAUAUUGUAUUGUAUUACAUAAGUCCAGUUUUUAGUUUUAGAGAAAUCUCUAAAAUUAGAAUUUUUUAUUUCAUAACAUCUUCACCUAUUAUCGUCUCACGUAAACUAUGUGUUCGACGGAAAAAGGUGGCAUUUUAACACCUCGCAUUAACUUAUUGCAUCAUUUAUUCGAUGAAUCAAUGUUGCAGACAAUAUUGUUCUUAGUCAACAACGAAGACAAGGUUAUUACAAAUCGUUGACCUGGGUUUGCCAAAGUAGCUAAGUAUUUUUGAUUCAGUGCAGACUUUCUAAUAGAAUAAUUCAGAUACUCAGAACACAAUUAUUGUGGCAUAUACAUAAUUAAAAGUAUUCACAAUAUCGCAUUUACUGGACUUUAAUAUAUGUGCAGAGUAUGGGAACAGAAGUAAAAAGAAUAAACUAACUUCUACGAAAUGAUACAAUAGUAUAGUGUCACGCUGUUGUGCAUUUUUUGUGGCAAGCUUCACCUAAGGUUUCGCAAGAAAAGUUGCGCCGCACAUUUAUGAACUCUUGAUUUGCAAUCAAUAGAAUUGCUUUACCAUCAAUAGAGCGAGAUAAAAAUUUUUUGAUGAUGAUAUGGCGUUUUUAAAAGUUGUCUUUACCCUAAAGAUGUUUGGUAUAACCAAUGAGUGCAAAAUAAACCUUCAUUUAUUUUGAAUGAUUCUGCUUCAAAGCCAUGUAAGGUAUCGCCAAGAUUUUGUCAUCAAAGAAUACAAGAAUUCAGCCUGCAGGAUGCUACGAAAACAACAAGGCUGUCGAAUAAAAACGAAAGGGGAACGACGAAUCGUUCCUGGAAGCAGAAUGAAUAUGAAAACCAGUCAGAUUUUUAAGGUGUUUCACACAGAGUAAGUUAAUUGAAAAUUACUGCGUUCUAAAGUUUCUGUUGGCAAUAAGAUUAAAAUCCAAACAAAAGCUGAAAAUUAAUAAAAAUGUGCAGCAGCACAUCACCGAAGUGCUUUCGUCAAAAGCGGCCCAUGCAACCGCGAGUUGGAGAAACAUCAAAAUGAGAGGAAGAAAUUUAUUUAUAAAGUCGGUUUGCGAUAAGUUUAUGAUAUUUGUAUUGGCUACAAUGUUAAAUACUUAAAACCUCAAGCAGCAUGCAUCAUACUUUGCCACCUAGUACUUUUGUGAAAUAAAGAAUUGAUCUCUUCGCUUAACCUGCCUAGCCGCAUGACAAAAGACAUGCGUAGUCAAGUAAAAAUAUAGUGCUGAAAUAAACCAGGAGCACGUGUUCGCGAAACUUUUCCCGUACGGCUUUUCGCGUACCAUUACUACAUCACCAGUCGAAAUUAAAUAAAAAGCCCCAAAACAUAGGUACGAUGAACGAGUAAUGGUGUGAAACGGCUUCAAACUUUGAGAGAGCAUUAUUUCAAAAUAUCACGAUAGCAAUACCGAUUGGAUUUCAAUAUUGCUAAAUUCACGUGUACUUGGCAAAAUAAACAAAACGGAGGCUUCCAUUUGAAAAUUUUAUUAAGCGUAACAAGUUUAACAGCUCCGAUAAAGUGUUUCUUUAACAUUAAUUUUGUUGUUGUUGUAUUCAGUUAUUGUUAGCAAACUAUAGUACGGUGGUUUUGUCCGUAUUGUAAAUUUCGCAACAUAGAGUUUUAUUAACCCUUAUACCACCAAAAAAAAAUAAAUAAAAAAUGACAAGCAAUAUUUAUUAUUUCUUUAUUAUUUGCCUCCCAAAGCCGUAAUGCCUAAACGUUUGUUAAGGCCGUUCACAUGCGAAAUCAGCAAUGUUUCUAUUCGCAAUGCUUCUAUUCGCUUUUACUGUUUGCUCAUGUUCAUUACACUUCGUAUUAAAUUAGUAAACAGUGACGAAGCUAAAUCAUGGCUCUAGGACGAAC